CGCCCUUUCUUGACAAACUCACCCCUCUUUCUAAUUUUGCUUCUGCUACAGCGUCUAGAAACUAAAAGCGCUACUUCGACGUGAAAUGGCGUUGCUUCGACGACUCUUCUACCGGAAACCUCCUGAUGGACUGCCAGAGAUCUCCAAGCGAAUUUACGGGCUACUCUGGAGAAAAGGAAAAGUUGGGAAAAUGUGAGCAGGUCUGUCAAUUCAUCUUCACUUUGUUACUUCUUGUCUUUAUUCUUUUGUCAAAAUGGCAAUCUGGUAUUGACUGGUAUUUAGCUACUGCAUGUAUAUCCUCUUUCCUUUCUUUUUUACCUCAAAUGCUUCUUAUUUGUGAGCCCUUGAUUGGAGUUAUGUAAGAUAGGGAUUUAAAUUGGAACUUAUUGCAUUUACCCUGCCCAACCUUUUAUGCAUCCAAAUUUUUUGUUGGAACAUUCAUGCUUAACUCUUUGUAUAUAAAUUUCUAUAUUUAAUUUAAAUUUGAAUUCUUAUUAUUUGGAUUUUCUUAAAGAGUUAGUAUCAACUUGAGUAAUUAUAUACACCCCAAAUAAUAUCCCAAAAUUCACAUCCCAAAUGAUGUGUCAUCCUAUUUGACGCUGCCAUAUCAUUCACCGCCUCACCCAUUUAGUUUCAUGUCACCACCACAUAGGAUUACACAUCACUUGGGAUGGGAAAUUUGAGGUUACUUUUGGGAUGUGUAGUAUCAUUGGUCAUUGUUAGGAACCCAACACUGUUCCAAUUCUAAACCAUAUUAAACCAAGUAGUUGACAAACAAAAACAGAGAUGAUAGUUUGUAAUAUAUGUUGAAUGUUAGUUGUGUUUACAAGAAUAACAAUUCUCUUUCCUGUACACAAAUAAGAAAACAAUAAUACUCAUGCGUCCAGUUAUUCGAGAAACCGAAAUUGCUCCAUGAAUUUCCUAGCUUUUGAGAGGCUAGGCAGUCUCCCUAAUUCACCGCAGGAAUUGUGAAAGUUGAGAAGAUUGCCAUGGGAACAAAGGUUGUAACUGCAAGCAACUUCAAAAAAUUGUUUAGUUUGCUUAUUAUUAAAGAUGUAUAACUUGGAGGAAAAUAAGCUACGAAGGCUUCAUCUUGGUAUCAUAAAAUAGCUAUCAUAAAUCCCAAUUGAUAUUUUGGUAUUCAGUAUAGGUUUAUAUAGUCGAACUCUUUUAUAUAUUGGCCAAACAUAGUGUUAUAAAAGAGCUCUUAGUUGCACUUGACAGGACAUAAAAGGCUUGAAUUGAAGCUCAUGUUCUUUUGAUGAA
This is a long non-coding RNA of Mangifera indica (mango), 1266 nucleotides long. RefSeq lists it as uncharacterized. Lineage: Eukaryota; Viridiplantae; Streptophyta; Magnoliopsida; Sapindales; Anacardiaceae. The transcript has 2 exons. The record is from RefSeq and is a predicted model, not a curated record.